This 101-nucleotide signal recognition particle RNA is filed under the name Caulobacter sp. FWC2. Its description in RNAcentral is "signal recognition particle sRNA small type". It matches the Rfam family "Bacterial small signal recognition particle RNA". Rfam says of the family: The signal recognition particle (SRP) is a universally conserved ribonucleoprotein involved in the co-translational targeting of proteins to membranes. Archaeal SRP consists of a 7S RNA and homologues of the eukaryotic SRP19 and SRP54 proteins. In most bacteria, the SRP consists of a 4.5S RNA and the Ffh protein (a homologue of the eukaryotic SRP54 protein). The record is from RNAcentral. RNAcentral also lists the same sequence under 1 other name. Lineage: Bacteria; Pseudomonadati; Pseudomonadota; Alphaproteobacteria; Caulobacterales; Caulobacteraceae.
CUCGGAGAUCGGCGCGGACGGAGUCCUCGCCAACCUGGUCAGGGCCGAGAGGCAGCAGCCACAACGAGAUCAGCUUUGGGUCGCUGUCGGUCUCCACCCUU